This 447-nucleotide ribosomal RNA is filed under the name uncultured bacterium. Its description in RNAcentral is "bacterial SSU rRNA". It matches the Rfam family "Bacterial small subunit ribosomal RNA", at positions 331 to 792 of the family's 1533-position model. The record is from RNAcentral.
CCAGACUCCUACGGGAGGCAGCAGUGGGGGAUAUUGGACAAUGGGGGGAACCCUGAUCCAGCGACGCCGCGUGAGUGAAGAAGUAUUUCGGUAUGUAAAGCUCUGUCAGCAGGGAAGAAAGAAAUGACGGUACCUGACCAAGAAGCCCCGGCUAACUACGUGCCAGCAGCCGCGGUAAUACGUAGGGGGCAAGCGUUAUCCGGAAUUACUGGGUGUAAAGGGAGCGUAGACGGUUAAGUAAGUCUGGAGUGAAAGGCCGGGGCCCAACCCCGGGACUGCUCUGGAAACUAUUCAACUUGAGUGCAGGAGAGGUAAGCGGAAUUCCUAGUGUAGCGGUGAAAUGCGUAGAUAUUAGGAGGAACAUCGGUGGCGUAAGCGCUUUACUGGGCCGUAAUUGACACUGAGGAACGAAAGCCAGGGUAGCAAAUGGGAUUAGAUACCCGAGUA